GAUGAACGCUGGCGGCGUGCCUAAUACAUGCAAGUCGAGCGAACGGACGAGAAGCUUGCUUCUCUGAUGUUAGCGGCGGACGGGUGAGUAACACGUGGAUAACCUACCUAUAAGACUGGGAUAACUUCGGGAAACCGGAGCUAAUACCGGAUAAUAUUUUGAACCGCAUGGUUCAAAAGUGAAAGACGGUCUUGCUGUCACUUAUAGAUGGAUCCGCGCUGCAUUAGCUAGUUGGUAAGGUAACGGCUUACCAAGGCAACGAUGCAUAGCCGACCUGAGAGGGUGAUCGGCCACACUGGAACUGAGACACGGUCCAGACUCCCACGGGAGGCAGCAGUAGGGAAUCUUGCGCAAUGGGCGAAAGCCUGACGGAGCAACGCCGCGUGAGUGAUGAAGGUCUUCGGAUCGUAAAACUCUGUUAUUAGGGAAGAACAUAUGUGUAAGUAACUGUGCACAUCUUGACGGUACCUAAUCAGAAAGCCACGGCUAACUACGUG
RNAcentral lists this ribosomal RNA (497 nucleotides) under uncultured bacterium. Its description in RNAcentral is "partial 16S ribosomal RNA". It matches the Rfam family "Bacterial small subunit ribosomal RNA", at positions 28 to 507 of the family's 1533-position model. The record is from RNAcentral.